RNAcentral lists this transfer RNA (89 nucleotides) under Patescibacteria group bacterium. RNAcentral describes it as "tRNA-Ser". It matches the Rfam family "tRNA". Rfam says of the family: Transfer RNA (tRNA) molecules are approximately 80 nucleotides in length. Their secondary structure includes four short double-helical elements and three loops (D, anti-codon, and T loops). The record is from RNAcentral.
GGAGGGUUGCGCCGAAUGGUAAGGCACCGGUUUGCUAAACCGUGACCGUGUCAAUGGUCUUGUGGGUUCGAGUCCCUCACCCUCCGCCA